GCGCCGGGACGACCCGGCGCGUGUACUGGCCUGAGGACGACCUCG
This 45-nucleotide non-coding RNA is filed under the name Bordetella bronchiseptica. RNAcentral's name for it is "Guanidine-II sequence". It matches the Rfam family "Guanidine-II riboswitch aptamer (mini-ykkC)". From Rfam's summary of the family: Simpler in structure and has fewer highly conserved nucleotide positions than the ykkC-yxkD leader. Despite this each of its two stem-loop structures directly bind free guanidine. The record is from Rfam by way of RNAcentral. Lineage: Bacteria; Pseudomonadati; Pseudomonadota; Betaproteobacteria; Burkholderiales; Alcaligenaceae.